AGCAGCCGCGGUAAUUCCAGCUCCAAUAGCGUAUAUUAAAGUUGUUGCAGUUAAAAAGCUCGUAGUUGAAUUUCGGGGUUAGUAGAUUGGUCAUGCCUCUGGUAUGUACUGGUCUCACUGAUUCCUCCUUCCUGAUGAACCUUAAUGCCAUUAAUUUGGUGUUUUGGGGAAUUUGGACUGUUACUUUGAAAAAAUUAGAGUGUUUAAAGCAAGCUAACGCUUGAAUACAUUAGCAUGGAAUAAUGAAAUAGGACGUUCGAUCCUAUUUUGUUGGUUUCUAGGAUUGACGUAAUGAUUAAUAGGGAUAGUUGGGGGCAUUAGUAUUCAAUUGUCAGAGGUGAAAUUCUUGGAUUUAUUGAAGACUAACUACUGCGAAAGCAUUUGCCAAGGAUGUUUUCGUUAAUCAAGAACGAAAGUUAGGGGAUCGAGGACGAUCAGAUACCGUCGUAGUCUUAACCAUAAACUAUGCCGACUAGGGAUCGGAUGAUGUUAAUUUUUUAAUGACUCA
RNAcentral lists this ribosomal RNA (508 nucleotides) under uncultured glomeraceous AM fungus. RNAcentral's name for it is "SSU rRNA". It matches the Rfam family "Eukaryotic small subunit ribosomal RNA", at positions 569 to 1078 of the family's 1831-position model. The record is from RNAcentral. Lineage: Eukaryota; Fungi; Glomeromycota; Glomeromycetes; Glomerales; Glomeraceae.